Molecule: ribosomal RNA, 398 nt
Filed under: uncultured bacterium
Lineage: Bacteria
Description: partial 16S ribosomal RNA
Rfam family: Bacterial small subunit ribosomal RNA
Source: RNAcentral
GAUAUUGCACAAUGGGGGAAACCCUGAUGCAGCGACGCCGCGUGAGCGAAGAAGGCCUUCGGGUCGUAAAGCUCUGUUGCGAGGGAAGAAUAAAUGACGGUACCCAAUGAGGAAGCCCCGGCUAACUAAGUGCCAGCAGCCGCGGUAAUACGUAGGGGGCGAGCGUGGUCCGGAAUUACUGGGCGUAAAGGGUACGUAGGCGGCUAUAUAAGUCAGGUGUGAAAUACCAGUGCUUAACACUGGAAUUGCAUUUGAAACUGUGUAGCUUGAGUGCAGGAGAGGAAAGUGGAAUUCCUAGUGUAGCGGUGAAAUGCGUAGAGAUUAGGAGGAACACCAGUGGCGAAGGCGACUUUCUGGACUGUAACUGACGCUGAGGUACGAAAGCGUGGGUAGCGAAC